Long non-coding RNA from Zalophus californianus (California sea lion), 246 nucleotides. RefSeq lists it as uncharacterized. The record is from RefSeq and is a predicted model, not a curated record. Lineage: Eukaryota; Metazoa; Chordata; Mammalia; Carnivora; Otariidae. The transcript is spliced from 3 exons.
UACCAGAGCAAAAAUAUAAAGUCUGGAAGAGGAGACAAUUACUCAGAUUCACAGAUAUCAAUAUAAGGAACCAAGGAGCAUGGAAAAUCAGGUUAUGUUUAAACACAGCUACAGAACUGAACAAGCAUGAUCAGAGAUUGUAAACACAAUGGUACAUGGCCCAGGAAGAGUUCAGUAACAGCCUUGGGCUAAAGCGCCUCUCCUCUCUCCUUGAGCCAAGAGCACAUGACCAAGUGACUAGUGGGA